AACGAACGCUGGCGGCAUGCCUAACACAUGCAAGUCGAACGAAGGCUUCGGCCUUAGUGGCGCACGGGUGCGUAACGCGUGGGAAUCUGCCCUUGGGUUCGGAAUAACGUCGGGAAACUGACGCUAAUACCGGAUGACGACGUAAGUCCAAAGAUUUAUCGCCCAAGGAUGAGCCCGCGUCGGAUUAGCUAGUUGGUGAGGUAAAAGCUCACCAAGGCGACGAUCCGUAGCUGGUCUGAGAGGAUGAUCAGCCACACUGGGACUGAGACACGGCCCAGACUCCUACGGGAGGCAGCAGUGGGGAAUAUUGGACAAUGGGCGAAAGCCUGAUCCAGCAAUGCCGCGUGAGUGAUGAAGGCCUUAGGGUUGUAAAGCUCUUUUACCCGGGAUGAUAAUGACCGUACCGGGAGAAUAAGCUCCGGCUAACUCCGUG
This 433-nucleotide ribosomal RNA is filed under the name uncultured bacterium. Its description in RNAcentral is "partial 16S ribosomal RNA". It matches the Rfam family "Bacterial small subunit ribosomal RNA", at positions 29 to 507 of the family's 1533-position model. The record is from RNAcentral.